CAGCCGCCGCGGUAAUACCAGCUCUCCGAGUGGUAGGGACGAUUAUUGGGCUUAAAGCGUCCGUAGCCGGCCUGGCAAGUCUCCCGUUAAAUCCAACGAUUCAAUCGUUGGACUGCGGGAGAUACUGUCAGGCUAGGGGGCGGGAGAGGCCGACGGUAUUCUCGGGGUAGGGGUAAAAUCCUAUAAUCCCGGGAAGACCACCAGUGGCGAAGGCGGUCGGCUAGAACGCGCCCGACGGUGAGGGACGAAAGCUGGGGGAGCGAACCGGAUUAGAUACCCGGGUAGUCCCAGCCGUAAACGAUGCGGGCUAGGUGUUGGAGCGGCCACGAGCCGCUUCAGUGCCGCAGGGAAACCAUUAAGCCCGCCGCCUGGGGAGUACGGCCGCAAGGCUGAAACUUAAAGGAAUUGGCGGGGGAGCACCACAAGGGGUGAAGCUUGCGGUUUAAUUGGAGUCAACGCCGGAAAACUUACCGGGGGCGACAGCAGGAUGAAGGCCAGAUUGAAGGUCUUGCUGGACGAGCUGAGAGGAGGUGCAUGGCCGUCGCCAGUUCGUGCCGUGAGGUGUCCUGUUAAGUCAGGCAACGAUCGAGACCCACGCCCCCUGUUGCCACCGAGGAGGUUUCUCCAAGGGGCACUCUGGGGGGACUGCCGUCGAUAAGGCGGAGGAAGGAGUGGGCCACGGCAGGUCAGUAUGCCCCGAAUCCCCCGGGCCACACGCGAGCUGCAAUGGCUGGGACAGUGGGUUCCGACCUCGAAAGGGGGAGGUAAUCCCUAAACCCAGCCGUAGUUGGGAUCGAGGGCUGAAACUCGCCCUCGUGAACAUGGAAUCCCUAGUAAUCGCGCGUCAUCAUCGCGCGGUGAAUACGUCCCCGCUCCUUGUACACACCGCCCGU
This 893-nucleotide ribosomal RNA is filed under the name uncultured archaeon. RNAcentral's name for it is "bacterial SSU rRNA". It matches the Rfam family "Archaeal small subunit ribosomal RNA", at positions 459 to 1353 of the family's 1478-position model. The record is from RNAcentral.